Molecule: long non-coding RNA, 807 nt
Organism: Galeopterus variegatus (Sunda flying lemur)
Lineage: Eukaryota; Metazoa; Chordata; Mammalia; Dermoptera; Cynocephalidae
Exons: 3
Source: RefSeq, a predicted model, not a curated record
UGGUUAUUCAAUGUCUUCGGGCCUCACAGGAUGAGGUGCCUCUGCAACGAUGAAAUACUCUGGCCAGUGGGCGAGGAACAUGGAUGUGAUGCUGUUUGCUCUGGCAGGAACAGGAGGACCAAGGCCACCCUGGGAAUGGUAGAAUGGUUAAACUGCAAAGAGCCUGAUUGCUGGUGACUUCACAACCUGUCUUGCACUGCUAAUCAUCUCCAGACUUUGCUCACAUCAGCCACCUUGCUGAAGUCACUGUGCAUUCUGUUGUAUACGUCAUGCUUACUACUGUGGGGCAAGGUGGGCAGGGGAAGAAAUCCGUAAUGUUAAAAUUUUAUACAAGACCAUUACAUUAACAGUUUGUCAGGCAGAUUUAAGGCAACUCUUGUUCUCAUUUUUAAAAAAUUGUUUUCAACGUUGCUUUCAAUGUUGUUCCAUGACCUACAAGUUUUUUAAUUUUUUAGUACUCAAGUCUGUUUUUCCUUUUAUUUCCCCAUUUUCUUUACUCUUAGUCUUCAUUUAACUUUUUUUUUAAAAAAAGGAUACAGUUUCUGUAAGUGGAUCCAAGUUACUGAAACAAGAGAAAUGUCAAUAGUAAGCAGUGUUUACAAAAUCAGUUCAAAUAAGCAUCCUAAAACUAAAACUAAUAUGCUCAAGGAAAACAAAAUGUGCUUAAUUCACAACUUUAAAACCAACUUUAGGGCUAAGGAAGAUGGUUUUAACUACCUAAUGGCUAUGAGUUGUUACAGUGACUAUACAGGUAUUUGUACAUUUUCAUUUAACUGCUUCUUUACAAAUUAAAAGUUAAUAACUCUA